Molecule: unclassified non-coding RNA, 19 nt
Filed under: synthetic construct
Source: RNAcentral
CCAUAGAUCUGAACACGUU